CCUAAGUCCUCAUGGAUUUGUUUUUUGGCUUUACCCCCAAAAGGCCUCAAACCAAUGGAGAUAUUUUUCCAUCCUUAUAUAACCAUGAUCCUCCCCACUUCUAGUCAAUGUGGGACUUUGGUUGUAUACCCAACACAUACUACUUGGAUAGUCGUAGUAAUUCUAGUGCUAAUAUGUGUACCAAGUCCCAUCUCUUUUGAAGGGAUGUAUUUUUUAUAUAAAAUUUCAGUGUGAGCUUUCCUGCUUCUUCAGUGAAUCAUGAUAACUCAAUGGAUCACACAACCCUUGUGCUAGCAAUGCUUCAUUCAAAUUUCUACCCUAUCAAAUUUCGAUGGUAGGAUAGAGGCCUACCAUGGUGGUGACGAGUGAUGGAGAAUUAGGGUUUGAUUCUAGAGAGGGAGCCUAAGAAAUGGCUACCACUUCCAAGGAAGGCAGUUUGCAAACUACCCAAUCCCAACAUGAGGAGGUAGUGACAUUAAAUAACAAUACUAGGCUCAUCGAGAUUGGUGAUUGGAAUGAGUACAAUCUAAAUCCCUUAACGAGGAUCCAAUGGAGGGGAAAAUUUGGUGUCAAUAGCCAUGGUAAUUAUAGCUCCAAUAUCAUAUAUUUAAGUUGUUGCAAUUAAGAAGCUCGUAUAUGGAUCUUGGGUCGUAAAGGUUGGUCCGCCUAAUCAGUGUGCACUUGCCCUUCUGUCCCUUUUGUUAGAAACAUGGUCCUAGCCUUAAUUCGCUGGGUUGUGGCUGCGACGAUGUUACUUUGAAAAAAUAGAGUGCUCAAAGUAAUCUUAUGCUUUGAAUACAUUAGCAUGGAGUAACAUGAUAGGAGUCUAGUCUUAUUGUGUUGGCCUUCGGGACUGGAGUAAUGAUUAAUAGGGACUUUUGGGAGAAUUCGUAUUUCGUUGUCAAAGGUGAAAUUCUUGGAUUUAUGAAAGAUGGAACAAUACAAAAGCAUUUGCCAAGGAUGUUUUCAUUAAUCAAGAAUAAAACUUGGGGGCUCAAAGAUGAUCAGAUAUUGUCCUAGUCUCAAGCAUAAAUGAUGCCGACCAAGAAUCAACAGAUGUUGCUCUAAGGACUUCGCCAACACCUUCUCAGAAAUCAGAGUGUUUGGGUUCCAAGGGGAGUAUGGUUGUAAGGCUAAAACAUAAAGGAAUUGAUGGAAGGGCACCACCAGAAGUGGAGCUUGUGGCUUGAUUUGACUCAAAAUAGGGAAGCUUACUAGGUCCAGACAUAGUAAAGUUUGACAGAUUGAGAGAUCUUUCUUGAUUCUAUGGGUGGUGGUGCAUGACUGUUCUUAGUUGGUAAAGCGAUUCUUCUGGUUAAUUCUGAUAACGAAUGAGACCUCAGCCUGCUAACUAGAUAUGUGGUGGUUCCCCUUCGUGGCCAACUUCUUAGAGGGAGUAUGGCCAUUUAGGCCAUGGAAGUUUGAGGUAAUAAUAGGUUUGUGAUUUCGUUAGAUGUUAUAGGCAACACGCAUGAUGCACUGAUGUAGCCAACGAGUUUUUCUUCUUGGUUCAAUAGGAUCAGGAAAUGUCCUUAAAUUAAAUCAUGAUGGGGAUAUACCAUUGCAAUUAUUGGUCUUCAACGAGGAAUUCCUAGUAAGCAUGUGUCAUAAACUUGUGUUGACUACAUCCCUGCCCUUUGUACACAUUGUCCAUUACUCCUACAUAUUGAAUGAUUUGGCGAAGUGUUCAAAUUACGUCUAUGAUGGUGGUUUGUUGUCAUCGACGUCAUGAGAAGUUCAUUGAACCUUAUCAUUUACAAGAAGGAGAAGUCGUAACAAGGUUAUUGUAGGUGAACCUGCGGUAG
RNAcentral lists this ribosomal RNA (1805 nucleotides) under Pinus taeda (loblolly pine). RNAcentral describes it as "SSU rRNA". It matches the Rfam family "Eukaryotic small subunit ribosomal RNA". Lineage: Eukaryota; Viridiplantae; Streptophyta; Pinopsida; Pinales; Pinaceae. The record is from RNAcentral.